CUGCCACAAUGACGGAGUCCGGUUUCGGCCGGACUAGGUGGCUCACACCAGUGUUUCGGACAGCGGUUCGAUUCCGCUCAGCUCCAUUUCACGGGGCUGCAAUGGUUUCGACGGGGCAUGAGGAGGGUGACUGAAGCCUGCUCGGUCAGAGCAAACCCGUAACAGCGAACAACAUCGUUCGUUUCUCCCGUCAAGCUGCCCCCGUGGCCGCCUGACAUCUCUAAGGGAGAUGGGGUGAGGUCAGCCUUAUCACCCAAAUGACCGCUUGGGGGUGGAAGCCCCC
This is a non-coding RNA of Cyanobium sp. PCC 7001, 283 nucleotides long. It matches the Rfam family "Cyanobacteria transfer-messenger RNA". From Rfam's summary of the family: Bacterial tmRNA, also known as 10Sa RNA or SsrA, is named for its dual tRNA and mRNA-like properties. Its role is to liberate the mRNA from a stalled ribosome. The record is from Rfam. NCBI's taxonomy places the organism in Bacteria, Bacillati, Cyanobacteriota, Cyanophyceae, Synechococcales, Prochlorococcaceae.